GACGAACGCGGGCGGCGUGCUUAACACAUGCAAGUCGAACGAUGAAGCCUAGCUUGCUAGGUGGAUUAGUGGCGAACGGGUGAGUAAUACGUGAGUAACCUACCUUUAACUCUGGGAUAAGCCUGGGAAACUGGGUCUAAUACCGGAUACGACCAAUCUCCGCAUGGGGUGUUGGUGGAAAGCGUUAUGUAGUGGUUAUAGAUGGGCUCACGGCCUAUCAGCUUGUUGGUGAGGUAACGGCUCACCAAGGCGACGACGGGUAGCCGGCCUGAGAGGGUGACCGGCCACACUGGGACUGAGACACGGCCCAGACUCUUACGGGAGGCAGCAGUGGGGAAUAUUGCACAAUGGGCGCAAGCCUGAUGCAGCGACGCCGCGUGAGGGAUGACGGCCUUCGGGUUGUAAACCUCUGUUAGCAGGGAAGAAGAGAGAUUGACGGUACCUGCAGAGAAAGCGCCGGCUAACUACGUGCCAGCAGCCGCGGUAAUACGUAGGGCGCGAGCGUUGUCCGGAAUUAUUGGGCGUAAAGAGCUUGUAGGCGGUUUGUCGCGUCUGCUGUGAAAGGCCGGAGCUUAACUCCGUGUAUUGCAGUGGGUACGGGCAGACUAGAGUGCAGUAGGGGAGACUGGAAUUCCUGGUGUAGCGGUGGAAUGCGCAGAUAUCAGGAGGAACACCGAUGGCGAAGGCAGGUCUCUGGGCUGUAACUGACGCUGAGAAGCGAAAGCAUGGGGAGCGAACAGG
RNAcentral lists this ribosomal RNA (741 nucleotides) under Rothia mucilaginosa. RNAcentral's name for it is "bacterial SSU rRNA". It matches the Rfam family "Bacterial small subunit ribosomal RNA", at positions 28 to 776 of the family's 1533-position model. Lineage: Bacteria; Bacillati; Actinomycetota; Actinomycetes; Micrococcales; Micrococcaceae. The record is from RNAcentral.